This is a non-coding RNA of Ictidomys tridecemlineatus (thirteen-lined ground squirrel), 69 nucleotides long. The record is from Rfam. NCBI's taxonomy places the organism in Eukaryota, Metazoa, Chordata, Mammalia, Rodentia, Sciuridae.
GGGAUUGUGGCUCAGUGGUAGAGUGUUCACCUUGCAUGUGUGAAGUACUGGGUUCUAUCCUCAGCACCA